Molecule: transfer RNA, 89 nt
Filed under: Streptomyces phage Starbow
Lineage: Duplodnaviria; Heunggongvirae; Uroviricota; Caudoviricetes; Stanwilliamsviridae
Also listed under: 16 other names
Description: tRNA-Ser
Rfam family: tRNA
About the family: Transfer RNA (tRNA) molecules are approximately 80 nucleotides in length. Their secondary structure includes four short double-helical elements and three loops (D, anti-codon, and T loops).
Source: RNAcentral
GGAGGCGUUAACGUUGGCAGUGUGGAAGGUCUUUGAACGGCCUACGAUGUAGGGAUACGUCGCGAGAGUUCGAAUCUCUCCGCCUCCGC